RNAcentral lists this ribosomal RNA (303 nucleotides) under uncultured bacterium. RNAcentral describes it as "partial 16S ribosomal RNA". It matches the Rfam family "Bacterial small subunit ribosomal RNA", at positions 507 to 807 of the family's 1533-position model. The record is from RNAcentral.
AGCAGUCGCCGCGGGAAUACGUAGGGUGCGAGCGUUAAUCGGAAUUACUGGGCGUAAAGCGUGCGCAGGCGGUUCGUUAAGACAGAUGUGAAAUCCCCGGGCUUAACCUGGGAACUGCAUUUGUGACUGGCGAGCUAGAGUAUGGCAGAGGGGGGUAGAAUUCCACGUGUAGCAGUGAAAUGCGUAGAGAUGUGGAGGAAUACCGAUGGCGAAGGCAGCCCCCUGGGCCAAUACUGACGCUCAUGCACGAAAGCGUGGGGAGCAAACAGGAUUAGAUACCCGAGUAGUCCCUGUCUCUUAUAC